CGCCGCGCCACGUGCGGUUGGAGCCGGCCCGCGGGAGGGGCGGGGGCAGCGUUGCCGGGAAAACACGCGUGGGGAGCGGUGGGGUGCGGGGUUCGGCAGUGGGGUGCCACGGGAACGCCCGUCCCCGCUUCCAUCCGUUUAGCAUUCCCUGGCUAAGGAACGAACGGAGCGCCCUGUAAUGAAGGUUUAUUCUCAUUUCUGUAUUGCUGUGGCUAGAGCUGGUGGAGAGCAUGACGCGCAAGGGGAUCUGACAGCUUCAGAAGUGGGUGCCGAAGGAGUUCCGAAGGAGGCGUUAGCUCUUGCUAGCAGGUAAUCUCGUCUUGAAACUGUUGGGUCUUCCCUGGUCCGACAUCCAGGACAGUCUUGAAACAGAAAAAAAGUCACCGCUGACGUCUGUGAUGGGCUCACUAAGAGCAAAACAGGACGCCUGCAGGAAAGCAUGAUAGAGUCCCCCCAAAUUCUCUGUGGUUGCAGGGAGGGCAGGCUGAGACAUUCCUGCAUCCUUUUCCAUCCUUCUCCAUUCCCCGUGUUCUCAGCAGGGCAGAGCCGUGUGACACCAAAGGCUGAUGGGUUCCCCGGGAUUCCGGUGGCUGUGUGUUCGCUCCUUCCGUUAAGCAGGUACCCGCAGCACGUUCCUUCCCGCAGUUUCCUGGUGCCCCGCGCUCCCCGGCCGCUGAUCCGGCUUGUGCUGAGGCCGCGGCGUGCGGGAGGAACCACCAGGUGGCGACGUCUCUCCGUGCUGCUGCUGCGGGCUUUGGUGGCUUUUCCGCCCUUCGCUCAGAAGCAGGAGCAGACGCAGCUUGCUAGCUUGCUGCCUACCGGCACCGCUCAGUGCACGCUGGCAGAGCCGCCCCAUGCAUUGGAGAGGCAGCUUCCCGCUUUGCAGGAGGCACAGCACUGCUGACCUCAUCAGGAUCCCACCUCGUGCGUUGACGUGGAAUGAAAUCACCGUGGAGCUGGGACCUGGCAGUGAGCUGCAGGGCUGUGUGUGACAAAGAGAGCAACCUGAAGGCAGGGGACUGCGAAACCUCCGUGACGUGCUUUGGAGAAAUACGUGGUCAGAGGGUGAAUACGCAGAGGAGAAGGAAUGCUCAGUUUGGGAUGAGCUGCCCUGGUUCUGCAGCCCCAACCGCCAUCUGUUGCGCUGAGCUCCAUCUAGCUCAGGCCAUAACUGUGCUCUCACCAGAUGUUAGCUUACAUGAGCUGCAUGUAAAAGGGAACUGGUGCGAGAGCUGUGGCCCGAAGUGCUUUCAGUAGGGUCUGACCUGCCGCAGUGACGACGUGCUAGCCGGCCUCUCGCUGCGGGGAUGCGCUCCAGAAGUCGCAGGUGUGUGGCUGGAGCUUGGUCAGUGAGUCAGGAUAGGAAAUAUCUUCCAAAGCUCCAAAUAAGACAAAACAAACUGAGCUUUAGCACAUGCUCAACCGAUUGAGCCUUUGGCAAAGUAUGACAUGAAUUUUCAGGGCUCUCACUGAGGCUGCAUCUUGCCUGCUGCGUCCUUCGGCGCCGAUCCUCCAGAACAGGAAAGUGGGAAUAAAGCUACGAGCGCAGAGCUGGCUGCUCACGGAAUAUCUGCAGCGUGAUUGGCACUAAUGCUCUGCAGCCAGUGGGAGAAGAUACGUUACCCAAGCUUGCAGAGCUUUACCCACCCUUCUGGCUGAUGACAUGUUAAACACUUGGUUUGCGAUCAUCAAUUUUCUCCUGAAAUGAUACCCAAAGCUCUGCUGUUUUGAUUUAAAGUGAUUUCGAGUCUUGUAGUUAACAGUUAAGGAUAGUCCUGUCCAAGAGAAUCUAACUUGAGGAAGCCAUGAAAUUUAAUUCAUUUCUGCAACUUAAAUAUAUAAUCAGUGACAUAUGGGAAUACUAAAUACGGGGGGAAAUGUCAUUGCUUAAGUAAAAUUUCUGCAUUCAGUCAAAACCCAGCAGUUGUAACAUCAAACUGUACUUUCCAUUGUACAGGAAAUAAAGCAUCGUUUUUUCAAAGAAAA
Tympanuchus pallidicinctus (lesser prairie-chicken) is the source of this 1986-nucleotide long non-coding RNA. RefSeq lists it as uncharacterized. The record is from RefSeq and is a predicted model, not a curated record. Lineage: Eukaryota; Metazoa; Chordata; Aves; Galliformes; Phasianidae. The transcript has 4 exons.